UAGGACCUAACACAUGCAAGUCGAGGGCAGCACAUAGAGUAGCAAUACGAGUGGUGGCGACCGGCGCACGGGUGAGUAACACGUAUGCAACCUACCUUUAACAGGGGAAUAACCCGUUGAAAAACGGACUAAUACUCCAUAACACAGGGGUCCCGCAUGGGAAUAUUUGUUAAAGAUUAAUCGGUUGAAGAUGGGCAUGCGUUCCAUUAGCUUGUUGGUGAGGUAACGGCUCACCAAGGCCACGAUGGAUAGGGGAACUGAGAGGUUUAUCCCCCACACUGGAACUGAGACACGGUCCAGACUCCUACGGGAGGCAGCAGUGAGGAAUAUUGGUCAAUGGAGGCAACUCUGAACCAGCCAAGUCGCGUGAAAGGAUGAAGGUCUUAUGGAUUGUAAACUUCUUUUGCAAGGGAAUAAAGUGGGGGACGUGUCCUCCUUUGCAUGUACCUUGCGAAUAAGGAUCGGCUAACUCCGUGCCAGCCGCAGC
Molecule: ribosomal RNA, 487 nt
Filed under: uncultured bacterium
Lineage: Bacteria
Description: bacterial SSU rRNA
Rfam family: Bacterial small subunit ribosomal RNA
Source: RNAcentral